GAUGGCGAUUGUAUAGGAUAAGGUUCAAAUUUGAGAGUAAAUUAUAUUUACCCAUUUCCCAACCCUAGUGGUUUAACAUCACCUUUCCGCCGCUUCUCUAGACUUGGACAUUAACAACACCUUUCCGCUGCUUCUCGAGAAUUGGACAUGGCAAGUAGAACUUUUCAGCAGCAUUAUACAAUUGGAAGACGUAUUCAAGGUGAUGUAUACGAGGGAAGCUGGGGUCCGGUGGCGUCGUCACCGAUGUUUCUAUUAGAUGCUUUCGUACCAUGAAAGCGGCGGCUAGCUACCUGAGAGAUCUCCACCUGGCUAACGGAAGGUGUAGCCGUUGGUUACAAUUUGGUGGUGGAUGAAAAAACCGACGACGACCUUGUUUUUACCGAGCCACUCCGGAGAUUCAACACCUGGCUUAAGAACAAAAAGAAGAAGAUGUGGUUGGAGGAUGAUGAAGGAAAAACUACUAUGGGAUUCGGACAGGAAGCACAGGAAAUGUUUCAGAGUUCAGUCAGAUAGGUCUUGGAAUGGAGUCAAUAAAUUCCGUCGGGAUCGUCCAUGGUAAUUUGGUCAAGUUGGUCAAGAGGGGAAAGAAAAAGAAUAGGAGGAAUAAACGUGACGACACCAUUAUGGAUGUGGAUGCCAAGGUGUAUGCCGAAGGCGUUAAUGGAGUUAUGGUACGGUAGCCUUAGGGUGUGCAAUUUUCGGUAUGACGAUAAACCUAUUGAUGAAACUAGUGGCGGUGAGGCAAAACGACUCAAAGUCGAUGAGGAUAGUAGUGAGUAGCUUUAGUAAUCAUUAUAUUUUUUUUACUUUAAUUUGACUAUAACUAUAGGUUUUUGAUGAAAAUUGUUCUCAAUAGUCAAUACAGAAAAACUAGCUGGGUUAAUUGAUGAUGUUGAAGAUUUUGGAAGGCUGGUUUCUCUAGCCUAUAAGAAGCAUAGGCCGAAUCGUCCUUUUGGACAUGUCUCGAUGAAUGACUAUACAUUGUUUCAUCAAUUGUUUACCUUCGAGAAUAAUAAAAAAUAUGCUAACCAUAGGUAUUUCAUUU
Nicotiana attenuata is the source of this 1045-nucleotide long non-coding RNA. RefSeq lists it as uncharacterized. Lineage: Eukaryota; Viridiplantae; Streptophyta; Magnoliopsida; Solanales; Solanaceae. The transcript has 2 exons. The record is from RefSeq and is a predicted model, not a curated record.